CCUACGGGAGGCAGCAGUGAGGAAUAUUGGUCAAUGGACGAGAGUCUGAACCAGCCAAGUAGCGUGAAGGAUGACUGCCCUAUGGGUUGUAAACUUCUUUUAUAUGGGAAUAAAAUGUUCCACGUGUGGGUUUUUGUAUGUACCGUAUGAAUAGGGUUCGGCUAACUCCAGGCCAGCAGCGGCGGUAAUACGGAGGAACCGAGCGUUGUCCGGAUUGAUUGGGUUUAAAGGGAGCGUAGGUGGGUUGUUAAGUCAGUUGUGAAAGUUUGGGGCUUAACCGUAAAAUUGCAGUUGAAACUGGCAGUCUUGAGUACAGGAGAGGUGGGCGGAAUUCGUGGUGUAGCGGUGAAAUGCUUAGAUAUCACGAAGAACUCCGAUUGCGAAGGCAGCUGACUGGACUGCAACUGACACUGAGGCUCGAAAGUGUGGGUAUCAAACAGGAUUAGAUACCCCUGUAGUC
RNAcentral lists this ribosomal RNA (460 nucleotides) under uncultured bacterium. RNAcentral's name for it is "partial 16S ribosomal RNA". It matches the Rfam family "Bacterial small subunit ribosomal RNA", at positions 338 to 795 of the family's 1533-position model. The record is from RNAcentral.